Molecule: small RNA, 89 nt
Filed under: Sinorhizobium meliloti 2011
Lineage: Bacteria; Pseudomonadati; Pseudomonadota; Alphaproteobacteria; Hyphomicrobiales; Rhizobiaceae
Description: putative ncRNA
Source: RNAcentral
GACUGAUUAGCAAUUAUCGCCGACACUGGCUACUGUUAAUGUAACCAGAUCGAUAGGAUUGGAGCGGUCAGUGACAUUUCGCAAAGCGG